UACCUGAUGGUCCAGUUGUUAGGACUUGGCACUUUCACUGCUGGGACCCCGGGUUCAAUCCCCAGUCAGGGAA
Molecule: transfer RNA, 73 nt
Filed under: Bos taurus (domestic cattle)
Lineage: Eukaryota; Metazoa; Chordata; Mammalia; Artiodactyla; Bovidae
Also listed under: 5 other names
Rfam family: tRNA
About the family: Transfer RNA (tRNA) molecules are approximately 80 nucleotides in length.
Source: Rfam by way of RNAcentral